UACGGGGGGGGCAAGCGUUGUUCGGAAUCACUGGGCGUAAAGCGCACGUAGGCGGACUCUUAAGUCGGUGGUGAAAUCCUGGAGCUCAACUCCAGAACUGCCUUCGAUACUGGGAGUCUCGAGUUCGGGAGAGGUGAGUGGAACUGCGAGUGUAGAGGUGAAAUUCGUAGAUAUUCGCAAGAACACCAGUGGCGAAGGCGGCUCACUGGCCCGAUACUGACGCUGAGGUGCGAAAGCGUGGGGAGCAAACAGG
This 253-nucleotide ribosomal RNA is filed under the name uncultured bacterium. Its description in RNAcentral is "partial 16S ribosomal RNA". It matches the Rfam family "Bacterial small subunit ribosomal RNA", at positions 524 to 776 of the family's 1533-position model. The record is from RNAcentral.